RNAcentral lists this ribosomal RNA (352 nucleotides) under uncultured Halosimplex sp. RNAcentral's name for it is "bacterial SSU rRNA". It matches the Rfam family "Archaeal small subunit ribosomal RNA", at positions 67 to 420 of the family's 1478-position model. Lineage: Archaea; Methanobacteriati; Methanobacteriota; Halobacteria; Halobacteriales; Haloarculaceae. The record is from RNAcentral.
ACUUAGAUUCGCAGCAGAUAGCUCAGUAACACGUGGCCNAACUACCCUGUAGAUCGGAAUAACCUCGGGAAACUGAGGCUAAUGCCGAAUACGGCUCCUCCUCUGGAGUGAGAGGAGCUACAAACGCUACGGCGCUACAGGAUGUGGCUGCGGCCGAUUAGGUAGACGGUGGGGUAACGGCCCACCGUGCCGAUAAUCGGUACGGGUUGUGAGAGCAAGAGCCCGGAGACGGAAUCUGAGACNAGAUUCCGGGCCCUACGGGGCGCAGCAGGCGCGAAAACUUUACACUGCACGCGAGUGCGAUAAGGGGAUCCGAGUGCGAGGGCAUAGAGCCCUCGCUUUUCUACACCGU